RNAcentral lists this ribosomal RNA (993 nucleotides) under Triticum aestivum (bread wheat). RNAcentral's name for it is "partial small subunit ribosomal RNA". The record is from RNAcentral. Lineage: Eukaryota; Viridiplantae; Streptophyta; Magnoliopsida; Poales; Poaceae.
AUGGAGAGUUUUGAGAAGCAGGCAAGGGGUUGCUAUUCUGAGGAAGUUUCUCUGGAAAGUGACAUGUUCCUGCGAAUGCUCCUGCUUGAUGGAUGCUUUGUGCUUGUUUAUCUUGGUGGAACGAACGACUUAGAUUGGUGUGUUAAUGAACAGAAUGCAAGUGGUAGUAAUUAUCAGGGGGGAGAACCGCUUCAAUACACAAUAGCACAACUGGAGGAGAUUACGGAGCAUGCAUCAAAUAAGGGAACAAGUACUGAAAGUAUGAGAUUGAUUGCUGGGACAUCAUCCGAUUUAUGUUCAGCAGAAGGUGUGGAACUUGAGCAUAUUAGUACAGCUGAACAAUGCUAUGAUCAGAAGCAUCCUGACCAACCCAAAUGUGACCCAAUUUCUGAAUGGCAUCACGCCCAUGCAUUUCGCGACCUACUUCUUCUUGAGAACCAAUUACCUUUUUCCAUUGUGAAGAGAAUAUAUGGGCUACUUGUGGGAGAAGAUGCUCUAGAUCUACUUACUGAAAAGGGCGAGGUGGAAAUUCCAUGCUUGCUUAUUGAUGAAAAUACCAUUUGCCUCUUCAGGAACUUGGUUGCAUUUGAGCAAACAUGCUCGCAGUAUGGAAAUGAUGUCACUUCCUAUUUCGCUUUUAUGUCCCAGCUUGUUAGUACCCCCUGUGAUGUUGCACUGCUUGCUCGCAAAGGAAUAAUCCUACACCACAUGCGUACCGAUGAAGAAGUGUCAACUCUUUUCAGCAAGCUGGGUAAGAAUGUGGACUUUGAUCAGAAUGUUUCGUUCAACGGUAAUGGCUUCGUCUUUGACGUGCCACCUUGGAGGUCCGCAAAGCUGUAUAUCAGCGAUGAAGCCGCGUCGAGCUCGGGUGAAAAGGUGAUCCGUCAUUUUUUCUUUUGGUGGCUGCUAUGUGGUGCAGGAGGCAGUUUCAACAACUGGAUGGAAAAGGCUCAAUGGAAUGACAUGGUUGCAACUGCCGGUCUGACAGCCUAA